GGCUGAGCACACAGCCUUGAGGGGCACCGGUGUUAAGGUUUCAACCCUGUCCAAGAGUGGGUCCGGUACUGCUUCAGAAAGAUCCCUGGACCAUCCCUUCCCCUGCCUGAGCUCAGCACUCAAGAGAACAGCUACCACACAAGAGCCAGAUGAGGACAGACCAGGGCUAUCAAGAAAAGAACAGGAAAAAGUAAAAUGUAAAAGGAAGCGUGGGUAAUUGGGAGAGUACUUGAAAGAGUACUGUGAGAGGCAGGAAAAGAGACAGGAAGAGGCAGAGAAAAGAAAUAAAGCCCUGCUCCAAAUGUCAGAGGAACAGAAGGGCAGAAUGCUGGACCUCAUUGGGAAAAUGGUGGAGCACAUGACAAAAAAUAAAUUGCUAAAUGAAGCAGGCUCAUUUUGUG
Molecule: non-coding RNA, 401 nt
Organism: Lepisosteus oculatus (spotted gar)
Lineage: Eukaryota; Metazoa; Chordata; Actinopteri; Semionotiformes; Lepisosteidae
Source: RefSeq, a predicted model, not a curated record